This 497-nucleotide ribosomal RNA is filed under the name uncultured bacterium. RNAcentral's name for it is "partial 16S ribosomal RNA". It matches the Rfam family "Bacterial small subunit ribosomal RNA", at positions 28 to 507 of the family's 1533-position model. The record is from RNAcentral.
GACGAACGCUGGCGGCGUGCCUAAUACAUGCAAGUUGAGCGCUGAAGGUUGGUACUUGUACCAACUGGAUGAGCAGCGAACGGGUGAGUAACGCGUGGGGAAGCUGCCUUUGAGCGGGGGACAACAUUUGGAAACGAAUGCUAAUACCGCAUAAAAACUUUAAACACAAGUUUUAAGUUUGAAAGAUGCAAUUGCAUCACUCAAAGAUGAUCCCGCGUUGUAUUAGCUAGUUGGUGAGGUAAAGGCUCACCAAGGCGAAGAUACAUAGCCGACCUGAGAGGGUGGACGGCCACAUUGGGACUGAGACACGCCCCAAACACCUACGGGAGGCGGCAGACGGGGACCUUCGGCAAUGGACGAAAGACUGACCGAGCAACACCGCGUGAGUGAAGAAUGUUGUCGGAUCGUAAAACUCUGUUGGUAGAGAAGAAAGUUUGUGAGAGUGGAAAGCUCAUCAAGUGACGGGAACUACCCAGAAAGGGACGGCUCACUCCGUG